UCCGGGAGGAGAGAUUUAGCUCCCGCCCGGAUUUAGCUUCUCCCACCGGGCUCCAUCCAUCACCUCCCGCCCCCCCCCCCCCCCCCCCCCCACCUCUCCACGAUGGGGCUGGGCUGCUUAAAACCCUCGGUCAGUCUCCUCCCCGUCUUUCUUCUCCCCCCCCCCCCCCCCGCCCCGUCCGACACCCCCUCCGGGGGGAGGCAGGGGGAGAUGCGGUCGGGGAUGCGGGAGAAGGCGGCGGCCGGGUCGGGACCCCCCCUUCCCUCCCCGUGGGGGCGGAGGAGAUGAUAAGGAGGUUAGAGCAGUCCCGAAGAGGUGGGGGGGGGGGGGGAGAAGGUGAAAGGGGGGGGGGGGGGAGAAGUUUACACAGCCUGGAAGGUGAGAGACAGCGAUGCUCUGGCCUGGAGCAAAAAUCUUUGUCCCGCAGCAGCAGAAGAGAUAACCGGGAGAUAAGGACUGAUACCCGGGAGGACAGCAGGAGACCGGCAGGCAGCCGAGGAAAGGGGGAGAAGCCGGAGGCAGUGUUGGGAAGGGCUGCGUAUCCAGAUGUGCUGCGUUUUGGAAACGCAUCUCCCUCUUCACGCCUUGCAAAAUCCCUGGCAAUUUUCUCUACCAAAGCAGCACUUUGCUGAAGUUUCGUGGAAUUCCUACUGAACACCAGCGCUUUACUUAAAAAAAAAAAAACAAAACAACAAUCCAAUUAAACCCGAUUAAAACCGCCCGAGCAGCUCUACCAGGAGCAGAGACGAUUUCAAGGACCUGCCUUGGCUUUGCCUUUUCCAGGAAAAAAACAUAUAAAAAUAAUAAAGAAAUCCCGUGGUGGGUUUUGAGUGUGCGUGGCCGGAUCCAGCCUCUUUCUGCGGGGAAAUAUCGGUCCUUAGUGCCGAGCAUCGCAUCGCGGGGGGGUGCGCACCCCGAAAAAAACCCCAGUGCCGUGAGGAGCGGAGCCGAGCCCCAGCCUGGUAUAAACAGCCGGGAGGGAAAAGAUGGAUUUCGGACACGUUUUUUUAUCCCGAAAAAACAGAGGAUGGGACACAGGAGAGUGCAGCGACAAAAAAAAAAAAAAAACAACAAAAAAAACAACCCUUAAAAAAAUAAAUCCCUGCUCUGCACUCGGAGGAGCUUUUUUUUUUUUUCUUUUCUUCUGCGAUUUACACAGUGCGCUUGCCGGCAAAGCGAGGCGGUGAACGAAAUCUGGCUGAAAAUAACCCUGCGGAACAAACCUCGGCCUUUCCACUCUCCUUUCC
This 1247-nucleotide long non-coding RNA is filed under the name Aquila chrysaetos chrysaetos. Its description in RNAcentral is "lncRNA (ENSACCG00020008524.1)". Lineage: Eukaryota; Metazoa; Chordata; Aves; Accipitriformes; Accipitridae. The record is from RNAcentral.